GGGGCUGUGGCUCAGCAGUAGAGUGCUCACCUAGCACAUGUGAGGCCCUGGGUUCAAUUCUCAGCACCUCGU
RNAcentral lists this transfer RNA (72 nucleotides) under Ictidomys tridecemlineatus (thirteen-lined ground squirrel). RNAcentral describes it as "Spermophilus tridecemlineatus (thirteen-lined ground squirrel) tRNA". It matches the Rfam family "tRNA". From Rfam's summary of the family: Transfer RNA (tRNA) molecules are approximately 80 nucleotides in length. The record is from Rfam by way of RNAcentral. Lineage: Eukaryota; Metazoa; Chordata; Mammalia; Rodentia; Sciuridae.